This 528-nucleotide ribosomal RNA is filed under the name uncultured bacterium. Its description in RNAcentral is "bacterial SSU rRNA". It matches the Rfam family "Bacterial small subunit ribosomal RNA", at positions 984 to 1509 of the family's 1533-position model. The record is from RNAcentral.
ACAUCCAGAGAAUUUAGCAGAGAUGCUUUAGUGCCUUCGGGAACUCUGAGACAGGUGCUGCAUGGCUGUCGUCAGCUCGUGUUGUGAAAUGUUGGGUUAAGUCCCGNAACGAGCGCAACCCUUUAUCCUUUGUUGCCAGCACGUAAUGGUGGGAAACUCAAAGGAGACUGCCGGUGAUAAACCGGAGGAAGGUGGGGAUGACGUCAAGUCAUCAUGGCCCUUACGAGUAGGGCUACACACGUGCUACAAUGGCGCAUACAAAGAGAAGCGACCUCGCGAGAGCAAGCGGACCUCAUAAAGUGCGUCGUAGUCCGGAUUGGAGUCUGCAACUCGACUCCAUGAAGUCGGAAUCGCUAGUAAUCGUAAAUCAGAAUGUUACGGUGAAUACGUUCCCGGGCCUUGUACACACCGCCCGUCACACCAUGGGAGUGGGUUGCAAAAGAAGUAGAUAGCUUAACCUUCGGGAGGGCGUUUACCACUUUGUGAUUCAUGACUGGGGUGAAGUCGUAACAAGGUAAGCGUAGUGCU